RNAcentral lists this small RNA (313 nucleotides) under Arabidopsis thaliana (thale cress). RNAcentral describes it as "ATSL058660". Lineage: Eukaryota; Viridiplantae; Streptophyta; Magnoliopsida; Brassicales; Brassicaceae. The record is from RNAcentral.
GGUUUUUUACAUAGCCACCACCAUAACCCAUCGCAGUAACUUCGAGGCACAAUCGAUUUCUCAUGAGAAAACUUGUUUUCAUUGCAGAGUUUUUUGCAUGCAUUUUCACACAAAGGUAGAGUUGCCUUUUCAGAAACUUUCAUGCAUUGAUUUGGGACACAAUGUUUAACACACACUUCCAGUGUACUCGCAUAUGUUGAAACCAUCAUCGUAAAUAAAACUACUAUCAUCAAAACUCUGCAUAUCUUUUUCAUUGUUUCAGGCGCUAGUAUUUGAAAAUCGAGAUGAGUUUGCGAGUGUUCAAACAAAUUUA